GGUUGACCUCGGAUCAGGUAGGGAUACCCGCUGAACUUAAGCAUAUCAAUAAGCGGAGGAAAAGAAACCAACAGGGAUUGCCCCAGUAACGGCGAGUGAAGCGGCAAGAGCUCAAAUUUGAAAGCUGGCUCCUUCG
This 136-nucleotide ribosomal RNA is filed under the name Penicillium roqueforti. RNAcentral's name for it is "partial 28S ribosomal RNA". It matches the Rfam family "Eukaryotic large subunit ribosomal RNA", at positions 1 to 133 of the family's 3401-position model. Lineage: Eukaryota; Fungi; Ascomycota; Eurotiomycetes; Eurotiales; Aspergillaceae. The record is from RNAcentral.